GUGUCAGCCGCCGCGGUAAUACCCGCGCCCCUAGUGGUGGUCGAUAUUAUUGAGCCUAAAACGUCCGUAGCCGGUCUUCUAAAUCCUUGGGUAAAUCGGGCAGCUUAACUGUCCGAAGUCCGGGGAGACUGGGAGACUUGGGACCGGGAGAGGUCAGAGGUACUUCUGGGGUAGGGGUAAAAUCCUGUAAUCCUGGAAGGACCACCGGUGGCGAAGGCGUCUGACUAGAACGGAUCCGACGGUGAGGGACGAAGCCCUGGGGCGCAAACGGGAUUAGAUACCCCGGUAGUCCAGGGUGUAAACGCUGCGGGCUUGGUGUUGGGGGUCCUUAGUGGGCGCCCAGUGCCGGAGAGAAGUUGUUAAGCCUGCUGCUUGGGGAGUAUGUCCGCAAGGAUGAAACUCAAAGGAAUUGACGG
This 416-nucleotide ribosomal RNA is filed under the name uncultured Methanomassiliicoccus sp. Its description in RNAcentral is "bacterial SSU rRNA". It matches the Rfam family "Archaeal small subunit ribosomal RNA", at positions 455 to 871 of the family's 1478-position model. The record is from RNAcentral. Lineage: Archaea; Methanobacteriati; Thermoplasmatota; Thermoplasmata; Methanomassiliicoccales; Methanomassiliicoccaceae.